Chenopodium quinoa (quinoa) is the source of this 397-nucleotide long non-coding RNA. RefSeq lists it as uncharacterized. Lineage: Eukaryota; Viridiplantae; Streptophyta; Magnoliopsida; Caryophyllales; Amaranthaceae. The record is from RefSeq and is a predicted model, not a curated record. The transcript is spliced from 3 exons.
GGUAAUUUAGACGGUUAAGAUUAAAACACGUAUUUUUCCUCAUACCCCCUACGGCCCUACCACCCGAUCAAAAUUUUCUCUCUCCUCUAACUUUCUCUCUCUUCGUGCUCAUCUCAUUCUCUUUUGCAAACCCCCAAAAAUCUCCAUAGAAAUUGCAAUUUGAAGGAUUUUCGACUCAGCAAAAUGCAAGGCCAAAAUGAAGCAAAAUCAGAAGGAGGAGUUACUAAUAUACAAGAAGAAGAAAUUACUUAUGUAAGAAAAAGGAAAGUUGAAAACGUUGAAGCGGAAGUAAUUGAUAGAUCGGAAUUUGAGAAGCAUAUUGAAAGUAAAAGUGUUGCUAUAAGACAUAGAAAACUUCCAACAAGGCUUCAACCACCUCGAAAAUUGCAAAAAAAAA